ACUAAAUUAGUAUAUUAGUAUAUUUGACUUCCAAUCAAAAGGUUCUGUUAAGAAUUUAGUA
This 61-nucleotide transfer RNA is filed under the name Baetis sp. PC-2010. RNAcentral describes it as "tRNA-Gly". It matches the Rfam family "tRNA". Rfam says of the family: Transfer RNA (tRNA) molecules are approximately 80 nucleotides in length. Their secondary structure includes four short double-helical elements and three loops (D, anti-codon, and T loops). Further hydrogen bonds mediate the characteristic L-shaped molecular structure. tRNAs have two regions of fundamental functional importance: the anti-codon, which is responsible for specific mRNA codon recognition, and the 3' end, to which the tRNAs corresponding amino acid is attached (by aminoacyl-tRNA synthetases). tRNAs cope with the degeneracy of the genetic code in two manners: having more than one tRNA (with a specific anti-codon) for a particular amino acid; and 'wobble' base-pairing, i.e. permitting non-standard base-pairing at the 3rd anti-codon position. The record is from RNAcentral. Lineage: Eukaryota; Metazoa; Arthropoda; Insecta; Ephemeroptera; Baetidae.